Molecule: ribosomal RNA, 279 nt
Filed under: uncultured bacterium
Lineage: Bacteria
Description: partial 16S ribosomal RNA
Rfam family: Bacterial small subunit ribosomal RNA
Source: RNAcentral
UGCCAGCCGCCGCGGUAAUACGGAAGGUGCAAGCGUUAAUCGGAAUUACUGGGCGUAAAGCGCGCGCAGGUGGUUUGUUAAGUUGGAUGUGAAAGCCCUGGGCCCAACCUAGGAACUGCAUCCAAAACUGACUGACUAGAGUACGAUAGAGGGAGGUAGAAUUCACAGUGUAGCGGUGGAAUGCGUAGAUAUUGUGAAGAAUACCAAUGGCGAAGGCAGCCUCCUGGAUCUGUACUGACACUGAGGUGCGAAAGCGUGGGUAGCGAACAGGAUUAGAUU